CGGGCUCAACCUGGGAACUGCGUUUGAAACGGCAAGGCUAGAGUACGGGAGAGGGAGGUAGAAUUCCACGUGUAGCAGUGAAAUGCGUAGAGAUGUGGAGGAACACCGAUGGCGAAGGCAGCCCCCUGGGCCGAUACUGACGCUCAUGCACGAAAGCGUGGGGAGCAAACAGG
Molecule: ribosomal RNA, 173 nt
Filed under: uncultured bacterium
Lineage: Bacteria
Description: partial 16S ribosomal RNA
Rfam family: Bacterial small subunit ribosomal RNA
Source: RNAcentral